GAUUUACAUUUGAGUGAGUGGCGAACUGGUGAGUAACACGUGGGAAACCUGCCCAGAAGCGGGGGAUAACACCUGGAAACAGAUGCUAAUACCGCAUAACAACUUGGACCGCAUGGUCCGAGCUUGAAAGAUGGCUUCGGCUAUCACUUUUGGAUGGUCCCGCGGCGUAUUAGCUAGAUGGUGGGGUAACGGCUCACCAUGGCAAUGAUACGUAGCCGACCUGAGAGGGUAAUCGGCCACAUUGGGACUGAGACACGGCCCAAACUCCUACGGGAGGCAGCAGUAGGGAAUCUUCCACAAUGGACGAAAGUCUGAUGGAGCAACGCCGCGUGAGUGAAGAAGGGUUUCGGCUCGUAAAACUCUGUUGUUAAAGAAGAACAUAUCUGAGAGUAACUGUUCAGGUAUUGACGGUAUUUAACCAGAAAGCCACGGCUAACUACGUGCCAGCAGCCGCGGUAAUACGUAGGUGGCAAGCGUUGUCCGGAUUUAUUGGGCGUAAAGCGAGCGCAGGCGGUUUUUUAAGUCUGAUGUGAAAGCCUUCGGCUCAACCGAAGAAGUGCAUCGGAAACUGGGAAACUUGAGUGCAGAAGAGGACAGUGGAACUCCAUGUGUAGCGGUGAAAUGCGUAGAUAUAUGGAAGAACACCAGUGGCGAAGGCGGCUGUCUGGUCUGUAACUGACGCUGAGGCUCGAAAGUAUGGGUAGCAAACAGGAUUAGAUACCCUGGUAGUCCAUACCGUAAACGAUGAAUGCUAAGUGUUGGAGGGUUUCCGCCCUUCAGUGCUGCAGCUAACGCAUUAAGCAUUCCGCCUGGGGAGUACGGCCGCAAGGCUGAAACUCAAAGGAAUUGACGGGGGCCCGCACAAGCGGUGGAGCAUGUGGUUUAAUUCGAAGCUACGCGAAGAACCUUACCAGGUCUUGACAUACUAUGCAAAUCUUAGAG
RNAcentral lists this ribosomal RNA (942 nucleotides) under Lactiplantibacillus plantarum. RNAcentral's name for it is "bacterial SSU rRNA". It matches the Rfam family "Bacterial small subunit ribosomal RNA", at positions 76 to 1005 of the family's 1533-position model. The record is from RNAcentral. Lineage: Bacteria; Bacillati; Bacillota; Bacilli; Lactobacillales; Lactobacillaceae.